AGUGAACGCUGGCGGUAGGCCUAACACAUGCAAGUCGAACGGCAGCACAGUAAGAGCUUGCUCUUACGGGUGGCGAGGGGCGUACGGGUGAGGAAUACAUCGGAAUCUACUUUUUCGUGGGGGAUAACGUAGGGAAACUUACGCUAAUACCGCAUACGACCUACGGUUGUAAGCAUAGGAUCUUCGGACCUUGCGCGAUUGAAUGAGCCGAUGUCGGAUUUGAUAGUUGGCGGGGUAAAGGCCCACCUAGGCGACGAGACGUUGCUGGUGUGAGAGGAUAGUGAUCCACACUAGAGCUGAAACGCGGUCCAGACUACUACGGGACGGAGCAGAGGAGUAUGGUAGACAGGGGGAGGGAGGCUGGUCCAACCAAACCACGCCGGUGAAAGAAGCCUUCGGGUUGUAAAGCCCUUUUGUUGGGAAAGAAAAGCAGCAGGUUAAUACCCCGCUGUUCUGACGGUACCCAAAGAAUAAGCACCGGCUAACUUCGUG
Molecule: ribosomal RNA, 492 nt
Filed under: uncultured bacterium
Lineage: Bacteria
Description: partial 16S ribosomal RNA
Rfam family: Bacterial small subunit ribosomal RNA
Source: RNAcentral